CCCAGCACCGAAUCCCGCGGUCGAUACGGUCGCCGGGAAAUGUGGUGUUAGGGAGGGUCCAUUAUCCCGAGAUCAUGCGGCGCGUCCAAGUCCUUCUUGAACGGGGCCACAGCCCAUAGAGGGUGCCAGGCCCGUAGCGACCGCUGCUGAUCGCGGGAGGAUUUCUCCUCAGAGUCGGGUUGCUUGAGAGUGCAGCUCUAAGUGGGUGGUAAACUCCAUCUAAGGCUAAAUAUGACCACGAGACCGAUAGCGAACAAGUACCGUGAGGGAAAGUUGAAAAGCACUUUGAAGAGAGAGUUCAAGAGUACGUGAAACCGUUUAGGGGUAAACCUGAGAAACCCGAAAGGUCGAAGGGAGAAAUUCAUUCGCGUUUCGAUGUUGGCGCGAGGCGGUCGCGCGACGGAGAGGGUUCGCCCGAUCCGCGCCUUCCGUUUCCGCGAUCCGACGUCGAACGCGUGCACUUUUCUCCUGGUAGGACGUCGCGAUCCGUUGGGCGUCGAUCUACGGCCCGGGGUGGAGCCCGCAUGGCUUCGGCCGCGCGGACCCCCGGUGUCCCGACCGACUCGCUCGACGGUAUACGAAAGGUCGAGGGCCGCUCUCGAAGCGUUCGACUCGUCGCAAGCGCGCCGGAAGCGUCGGAUACCGGAUCCGAUGCCGUUACCGAUCUCCGGUGGCUGUUGGCGGCGAUGUUCUCGGACAGACCCUCGUGACCGAUCGGCGACGCUAUAGCUUUGGGUACUUUCAGGACCCGUCUUGAAACACGGACCAAGGAGUCUAGCAUGUGCGCGAGUCAUUGGGAAUCGCUAAACCUAAAGGCGCAAUGAAAGUAAAGGUUCGUCUCGCACGGACCGAGGGAAGAUGGGCGGUUCGCCGUUAAAAGCGGCCGCUCCGCACUCCCGGGGCGUCUCGUUCUCAUCGCGAGAAGAGGCGCACCAAUAGCGUACACGCUGGGACCCGAAAGAUGGUGAACUAUGCCUGGUC
This 981-nucleotide ribosomal RNA is filed under the name Onychapion tamarisci. Its description in RNAcentral is "eukaryotic LSU rRNA". It matches the Rfam family "Eukaryotic large subunit ribosomal RNA", at positions 108 to 842 of the family's 3401-position model. The record is from RNAcentral. Lineage: Eukaryota; Metazoa; Arthropoda; Insecta; Coleoptera; Brentidae.